UAUUUUCUCCGUAAAACAUGUCAUCAUCAUCUACGUACUAUGUUACAAGUUAUAACCAUAUCUUUCGAUCAUUGCACUUAAUACAAUAAAAAGAAGAAAGCAACUGUUGCUUGCUGGAGGCUGGGGAGAUCCAGGAUAAGGAAUUUCCUGCAAAAGCUAUUUUAAGUUUUAUACUAUAAUACGACUAUACAGAGCAUGAUGCUGGGUAGAGCAGAAUUUGAGAAUUUCUAGCUCUCCGAUCCGUUGGUUAACCACAUACAGAGAUCAAGCAUUAUACUUGGCUAGCCAAUGAUAGAUACGUAUCGCACUAGUGUUUUGUUGUCCACUCCCCUUGAAGUAACAGAUAUCCUAUCCCCGGAUACAAAUUAAAGUGUUUUGGACUUUAGCGGCUUCACAGCACAGAAUUAUCAAUAAUUGAACAAGCUCUCAUUGCCUAUUUUUCAGGAGAGCAGUACAUGGUUCAUUGUUCGACAAGUGUCCAGUCUCUAUAAUCAACAUGUGGCACAGUAAAAGGAUAAAGGCAUCAAGGUAAAUAAAAGUUGUUUAGAUGUCAAAUUUAAGUUGUGUUUGUGUACAUGUAAAUUGAAUGACAAAACUCUAAUAUCCACAUUUGUUAGCGGCCAUUGUAUUUCAAAAUUUAAAAACCCAUUCUCUUCCUUCAUCGGAUCUCUCUCCAUCCGUCUGUCGAUAUCGAAACUCUGCACUGUCACCGGAGCAAACACAGAAACUUUGCUCGCGAUGCAAAUAGAGGAACCGUCGGUGGAGACUUUUCAUCUGUUUACGAAAAUUGAAGCUCGAUCCGUUCGCAGUUACUCAGCAUGGAUGGCUGUCGCUGGCAGUGUUACAGAAAUAUGGUCUCUAAGCGCAUCUUGAAGGAGCUCAAAGAUUUGCAGAAGGACCCUCCUACAUCGUGCAAAAUGGGAAGAACUAUCAGUAAAGUGAUUGGAAUUUUUGGAGUCCCCACAUGCUAUCUAUCUGAAGGCUAAACUUGAAGAAGCUAUCUUGGGACACAACCUGUUUGAUGAAAAGAUAGAAGAGUCAAAGAAGAUCAAUGAAGCAAUUGAAGGAAAUAAUAACAAAGAAGUUAAAAAGAAAGGUGCUGAUAAGGAGGGUGUGGAACCAGUGAAGGAACAAGAGGAAAAAAAAACAAUCGAAGCAGAGUCGAAGAAAAAGUGUUAGAGUGGAGAAGGAUGUGUCUCUUUAUGGAAUACCACUUCUGCUAAGCAAAGGAGAUGAAGGCAGGGAUAUAGUUUUUCUCAAGUUUCUGAGGGCGAGGGAGUUCAAGGUCAGUGAUGAAGAGGUCAAUUUAUACUUUUUUUUUCUUUAUAAAUAGUAGUUCAUAAAUAAUCUACUUUAAAUUAGAAGUUACUAAAAAAAUAGAAUAAAAAAAUUUACUUUAAAUAUUAUA
Arachis ipaensis is the source of this 1408-nucleotide non-coding RNA. Lineage: Eukaryota; Viridiplantae; Streptophyta; Magnoliopsida; Fabales; Fabaceae. The record is from RefSeq and is a predicted model, not a curated record.